RNAcentral lists this ribosomal RNA (1261 nucleotides) under Gammaproteobacteria bacterium. RNAcentral's name for it is "partial 23S ribosomal RNA". It matches the Rfam family "Bacterial large subunit ribosomal RNA", at positions 1382 to 2542 of the family's 2925-position model. Lineage: Bacteria; Pseudomonadati; Pseudomonadota; Gammaproteobacteria. The record is from RNAcentral.
AGUCGGGAGCUAAGACGAGGCCGACAGGCGUAGUCGAUGCACAACUGGUUGAUAUUCCAGUACCACCACAUUAUGCGCCCACGCUAAAGCAACUUUGCUAAGGGGAUGCUGCUAGCCCGUAAAACGGCCGGCAGAGAAACCGACCCAGGUUGUGGCGGCGAGCAAUGCGGGGACGCAGGAAGGUAGAUGAUCCCAGGCGAUGGUUGUCCUGGGGUAAGCGAGUAGGGAGAGGCCCAGGUAAGUCCGGUCCUCACGAUCCUGAGACGCGACGCCGAGCCGAAUCAGGCGAAGUCAUUGAUCCUAUGCUGCCAAGAAAAGCCGCUAGCUAGUACGUGUGGUGCCCGUACCCCAAACCAACACAGGUGGAUAGGUAGAGAAUACCAAGGCGAUUGAGAUAACUCUGGUUAAGGAACUCGGCAAAAUACAUCCGUAACUUCGGGAGAAGGAUGACCCCAUUAGGGUGACGGGACUUGCUCCCUGAGCUCGAAGGGGUGGCACAAACCAGUGGGAAGCGACUGUUUACUAAAAACACAGCAGCGUGCGAAGCCGUAAGGCGCUGUAUACGCUGUGACUCCUGCCCGGUGCUGGAAGGUUACGGGGAAGGGUUAGCCCUUGAGGCGAAGCUCUGAACCUAAGCCCCAGUAAACGGCGGCCGUAACUAUAACGGUCCUAAGGUAGCGAAAUUCCUUGUCGGGUAAGUUCCGACCUGCACGAAUGGAGUAACGACUCCCCAACUGUCUCAACCAGAGACUCAGCGAAAUUGAAGUACGAGUAAAGAUGCUCGUUAGCUGCAGAAGGACGGAAAGACCCCGUGGACCUUUACUAUAGUUUGGUAUUGGUUCUUGGUCUGAGUUGUGUAGGAUAGGUGGGAGACUAGGAAGCAUUGGCGCCAGCUAGUGUGGAGUCGUCCUUGAAAUACCACCCUUCUCAUGCUGGGAAUCUAACUUCGGCCCGUUAUCCGGGUCAGGGACAGUGCCAGAUGGGUAGUUUGACUGGGGCGGUCGCCUCCUAAAUGGUAACGGAGGCGCUCAAAGGUUCCCUCAGACUGGUCGGCCAUCAGUCGUUGAGUGCAAUCGCACAAGGGAGCUUGACUGCGAGACCGACAAGUCGAGCAGGUACGAAAGUAGGAGAUAGUGAUCCGGCGGUAGCGUGUGGAAGCGCCGUCGCUCAACGGAUAAAAGGUACCCCGGGGAUAACAGGCUAAUCUUCCCCAAGAGUCCAUAUCGACGGGAAGGUUUGGCACCUCGAUGUCGGCUCAUCG